This 360-nucleotide long non-coding RNA is filed under the name Setaria viridis. Its description in RNAcentral is "long non-coding RNA (SVIR_LNC000203)". The record is from RNAcentral. Lineage: Eukaryota; Viridiplantae; Streptophyta; Magnoliopsida; Poales; Poaceae.
ACUUCAUCAGCUCAACGUCCUCGUAUCCCACUCCCUUGCCCUUCCGCCCUUGUGAGUUCCCCAGGUUCUGCUAUUUAUCAAGGUAUGUAAUAUUGCUGCUGCCCUUUUAUAAAUAACUCAAUAGAUUUUGAUUCUGCCGGUUCCAUAUUUGAAUAUUGCUGCUGCCCUUUUAUAAAUAACUCAAUAGAGAUUUUGAUUCUGCCGGUUCCAUAUUUGAAUAUUGCUGCAUAAAUUAUGCAAGUUUGUUGUCCAUGGCUUCAAUCUUGCAUUUUUGGCAUUUCAUAUGUUGUAGUGUAGCCUCUUUCUCCAACCUGCAGAAUACUAGCGAAGCCUGCAGCCUACUAAACAUUUGAGCCUUGA